Molecule: ribosomal RNA, 522 nt
Filed under: Providencia rettgeri
Lineage: Bacteria; Pseudomonadati; Pseudomonadota; Gammaproteobacteria; Enterobacterales; Morganellaceae
Description: bacterial SSU rRNA
Rfam family: Bacterial small subunit ribosomal RNA
Source: RNAcentral
AGAGUUUGAUCCUGGCUCAGAUUGAACGCUGGCGGCAGGCCUAACACAUGCAAGUCGAGCGGUAACAGGGGAAGCUUGCUUCUCGCUGACGAGCGGCGGACGGGUGAGUAAUGUAUGGGGAUCUGCCCGAUAGAGGGGGAUAACUACUGGAAACGGUAGCUAAUACCGCAUAAUCUCUUAGGAGCAAAGCAGGGGAACUUCGGUCCUUGCGCUAUCGGAUGAACCCAUAUGGGAUUAGCUAGUAGGUGGGGUAAUGGCUCACCUAGGCGACGAUCCCUAGCUGGUCUGAGAGGAUGAUCAGCCACACUGGGACUGAGACACGGCCCAGACUCCUACGGGAGGCAGCAGUGGGGAAUAUUGCACAAUGGGCGCAAGCCUGAUGCAGCCAUGCCGCGUGUAUGAAGAAGGCCCUAGGGUUGUAAAGUACUUUCAGUCGGGAGGAAGGCGUUGAUGCUAAUAUCAUCAACGAUUGACGUUACCGACAGAAGAAGCACCGGCUAACUCCGUGCCAGCAGCCGCGGU